AUACGUAGGUGGCAAGCGUUGUCCGGAAUUAUUGGGCGUAAAGCGCAUGUAGGCGGUUUGGUAAGUCGGUCGUGAAAAUGCGGUGCUUAACGCCGUAUGGCGAUUGAAACUGCUGAACUUGAGUGCAGGAGAGGAAAGGGGAACUCCCAGUGUAGCGGUGAAAUGCGUAGACAUUGGGAAGAACACCGGUGGCGAAGGCGCCUUUCUGGACUGUGUCUGACGCUCAGAGGCGAAAGCCAGGGUAGCGAACGGGAUUAGAUACCCGGGUAGUCCUGGCCGUAACCGAUGGUUACUAGGUGUGGGAGGUAUCGACUCCUUCCGUGCCGGAGUUAACACAAUAAGUACCCCGCCUGGGGAGUACGGCCGCAAGGCUUAAACUCAAAUGAAUUGACGGGG
This 396-nucleotide ribosomal RNA is filed under the name uncultured bacterium. Its description in RNAcentral is "partial 16S ribosomal RNA". It matches the Rfam family "Bacterial small subunit ribosomal RNA", at positions 523 to 918 of the family's 1533-position model. The record is from RNAcentral.